CAAGAGGUCUGCCUGCCUAGGAU
Molecule: non-coding RNA, 23 nt
Filed under: Rattus norvegicus (Norway rat)
Lineage: Eukaryota; Metazoa; Chordata; Mammalia; Rodentia; Muridae
Source: RNAcentral